AUUGAACGCUGGCGGCAUGCCUUACACAUGCAAGUCGAACGGCAGCACGGGUGCUUGCACCUGGUGGCGAGUGGCGAACGGGUGAGUAAUACAUCGGAACAUGUCCUGUAGUGGGGGAUAGCCCGGCGAAAGCCGGAUUAAUACCGCAUACGAUCCACGGAUGAAAGCGGGGGACCUUCGGGCCUCGCGCUAUAGGGUUGGCCGAUGGCUGUUUAGCUAGUUGGUGGGGUAAAGGCCUACCAAGGCGACGAUCAGUAGCUGGUCUGAGAGGACGACCAGCCACACUGGGACUGAGACACGGCCCAGACUCCUACGGGAGGCAGCAGUGGGGAAUUUUGGACAAUGGGCGAAAGCCUGAUCCAGCAAUGCCGCGUGUGUGAAGAAGGCCUUCGGGUUGUAAAGCACUUUUGUUCGGAAAGAAAUCCUUGACUCUAAUACAGUCGGGGGAUGACGGUACCGGAAGAAUAAGCACCGGCUAACUACGUG
Molecule: ribosomal RNA, 486 nt
Filed under: uncultured bacterium
Lineage: Bacteria
Description: partial 16S ribosomal RNA
Rfam family: Bacterial small subunit ribosomal RNA
Source: RNAcentral